RNAcentral lists this ribosomal RNA (879 nucleotides) under Streptococcus agalactiae. RNAcentral describes it as "bacterial SSU rRNA". It matches the Rfam family "Bacterial small subunit ribosomal RNA", at positions 8 to 869 of the family's 1533-position model. Lineage: Bacteria; Bacillati; Bacillota; Bacilli; Lactobacillales; Streptococcaceae. The record is from RNAcentral.
AGAGUUUGUUUAUGGCUCAGGACGAACGCGGUCGGCGUGCCUAAUACAUGCAAGUAGAACGCUGAGGUUUGGUGUUUACACUAGACUGAUGAGUUGCGAACGGGUGAGUAACGCGUAGGUAACAUGCCUCAUAGCGGGGGAUAACUAUUGGAAACGAUAGCUAAUACCGCAUAAGAGUAAUUAACACAUGUUAGUUAUUUAAAAGGAGCAAUUGCUUCACUGUGAGAUGGACCUGCGUUGUAUUAGCUAGUUGGUGAGGUAAAGGCUCACCAAGGCGUCGAUACAAAGCCGACCUGAGAGGGUGAUCGGCCACACUGGGACUGAGACACGGCCCAGACUCCUACGGGAGGCAGCAGUAGGGAAUCUUUGGCAAUGGACGGAAGUCUGACCGAGCAACGCCGCGUGAGUGAAGAAGGUUUUCGGAUCGUAAAGCUCUGUUGUUAGAGAAGAACGUUGGUAGGAGUGGAAAAUCUACCAAGUGACGGUAACUAACCAGAAAGGGACGGCUAACUACGUGCCAGCAGCCGCGGUAAUACGUAGGUCCCGAGCGUUGUCCGGAUUUAUUGGGCGUAAAGCGAGCGCAGGCGGUUCUUUAAGUCUGAAGUUAAAGGCAGUGGCUUAACCAUUGUACGCUUUGGAAACUGGAGGACUUGAGUGCAGAAGGGGAGAGUGGAAUUCCAUGUGUAGCGGUGAAAUGCGUAGAUAUAUGGAGGAACACCGGUGGCGAAAGCGGCUCUCUGGUCUGUAACUGACGCUGAGGCUCGAAAGCGUGGGGAGCAAACAGGAUUAGAUACCCUGGUAGUCCACGCCGUAAACGAUGAGUGCUAGGUGUUAGGCCCUUUCCGGGGCUUAGUGCCGCAGCUAACGCAUUAAGCAUCC